Molecule: long non-coding RNA, 176 nt
Organism: Acomys russatus (golden spiny mouse)
Lineage: Eukaryota; Metazoa; Chordata; Mammalia; Rodentia; Muridae
Exons: 3
Source: RefSeq, a predicted model, not a curated record
UCCUUUACUUCAAAGCCUUUGAACAACUGUUAGAACUGGCUGCCUCCUGCAGUGGCCACUGCCAGCCUGAGAUCUCUGCUGCCAGACACACACAUCUCUCCUUCAGCCAUUCUGCUCCUGGGAACGUGCCGUCACCAUGGAGCAUCGCUGUGGUCUAAUCACUGUCAACAAGCAGA